AGGGAAUAUUGCACAAUGGGCGAAAGCCUGAUGCAGCGACACCGCGUGCGGGAUGACGGCCUUAGGGUUGUAAACCGCUUUCAGGAGGGAAGAAAUGACGGUACCUCCAGAAGAAGCUCCGGCCAACUACGUG
RNAcentral lists this ribosomal RNA (133 nucleotides) under uncultured bacterium. RNAcentral's name for it is "partial 16S ribosomal RNA". It matches the Rfam family "Bacterial small subunit ribosomal RNA", at positions 356 to 507 of the family's 1533-position model. The record is from RNAcentral.